This 285-nucleotide long non-coding RNA is filed under the name Medicago truncatula (barrel medic). Its description in RNAcentral is "lncRNA gene4606". Lineage: Eukaryota; Viridiplantae; Streptophyta; Magnoliopsida; Fabales; Fabaceae. The record is from RNAcentral.
UCCUCCAAAUUAUCAUUUGAUUCCUCGAUUUUGAUCUCAUCAUGUAGCUCGUGUAAGCGAUUAUUCAACCUUCCGAAUUUGUUGAUAUUCUGCUGGUCCUCCCAUGUAACUUCAGUUUCGGAUCCUCCUCCCUUUACGCAUUACAAACAAACGAGUCUCAAUCAAAAUCAAACAAUGCAAUCUGAAAAAUUCAAUUUAGGGUUUUAUGUUACCUGUUGCAUCUUGUUGAUUCAAAUUCGGUGUAUGGUUUUUACAAUACAGAAGACAGUACCACUUCAAGCUUGA